Non-coding RNA from Diatrype stigma, 105 nucleotides. NCBI's taxonomy places the organism in Eukaryota, Fungi, Ascomycota, Sordariomycetes, Xylariales, Diatrypaceae. The record is from the annotation of a GenBank genome assembly.
GGCCUGGUAGUCUAGUGGUCAGGACGUGGGAUUCUGAAAUAGAAAUCACCUUGAUCUCUUCAUAAGAAUCUUCCCGAAACCCCGGUUCGAUCCCGGGCCGGGCCU